GAUGAACGCUGGCGGCGUGCCUAAUACAUGCAAGUCGAGCGAACAGACGAGGAGCUUGCUCCUCUGACGUUAGCGGCGGACGGGUGAGUAACACGUGGAUAACCUACCUAUAAGACUGGGAUAACUUCGGGAAACCGGAGCUAAUACCGGAUAAUAUAUUGAACCGCAUGGUUCAAUAGUGAAAGACGGUUUUGCUGUCACUUAUAGAUGGAUCCGCGCCGCAUUAGCUAGUUGGUAAGGUAACGGCUUACCGAGGCGACGAUGCGUAGCCGACCUGAGAGGGUGAUCGGCCACACUGGAACUGAGACACGGUCCAGACUCCUACGGGAGGCAGCAGUAGGGAAUCUUCCGCAAUGGGCGAAAGCCUGACGGAGCAACGCCGCGUGAGUGAUGAAGGUCUUCGGAUCGUAAAACUCUGUUAUUAGGGAAGAGCAAAUGUGUAAGUAACUAUGCACGUCUUGACGGUACCUAAUCAGAAAGCCACGGCUAACUACGUG
This 497-nucleotide ribosomal RNA is filed under the name uncultured bacterium. Its description in RNAcentral is "partial 16S ribosomal RNA". It matches the Rfam family "Bacterial small subunit ribosomal RNA", at positions 28 to 507 of the family's 1533-position model. The record is from RNAcentral.